GAGAAGCUACUCUAUUCCCGAAAUAUUCAGGAGUUGCAAGCCCUCUUCUUUUGUUCUGGCUCUCCUCAAAAGGCUCUACUGAUCCAUGAUUUUUAGGCAAGAUGUUAUAACUAUCAGAUACAGGAAUUUAGGAACUCUCUGAGGAAGGAAGAACUGCUGCUUGUAUUUUGACAUGGUGAGCUGAGACUUGCAGGAGAGGCUGACCUGACAAUUCUGAUAAUGACUCCAAUGCUCCCAGGAGCAACUGCUGCUGACUGCGACUGCCUCUGCAAUUCAGCUGGAACCUGGACAGCUGUAACAUCUGAUUUGUUUUCAAGGCCUCAUGACUGGACCCCAGAAAAAGAGACUACUAUGUGCCAACAUUUAAAAUAAUCCACUGUCACAGGCAGACAACUGUGGCAGUCUUUAAAUGCUGCUAUCCUACCCCAUUUAAAAUGCUUGCACAGGAAAGAGAAGCAGUUUUUAAAAUCAUAAUACAGUCUAGAAAACAUAAUAAGGAUGCUUUGCUUCAAUUAUGUUUCAAAUAACAUUGUAAAGCCAAUUUAUAAGAAAAAUGCUGGCUUGUCAAUUUCCCUUUUUGGACUGAGAAAAAGCAGAAAAUCCUUCAGUCACUUUGGACCUAAACUGGCAAAAGCUCUGCUUACCCACUCUGCCUUUUAGACAGAACAGUUCCAAGAAAUUUUAUGGAACUGCUUACAGGCUGUAAAGAUUAUCAUGUGCAAAGGUUCUUGCAGGAUCAGAGUCCAGCAUUAUACUUUCAUGCUUGAUGUCAUCAAAACUGAGCCUCCUCUUUAAUGAAAAUUUUUCUAUAUAGAGUAGAUAAACAUAAAUUUAAAAUAAUGCAUCUCAAUAAACAAAGAGUCUUAAUUUUAAGGAAAUAGAAUUUAGAAUACCACAAAAGACAGUUGUUAAACUGCAUCAAAAGCAUUCUUACACCUUGAUAAGACAUAAAGAAUUUGCUAUGAUCAGAGCCUUGAAUUUAACACAGAAGUACUGUUUCUGUACUAACUCCAAGGAAAAGGGUUUCUGAUUGAAUUGUGCUACCAUUCCCCCUGAUUCCUCUCUAUUCUUCUCUUCCUGAGUGCAUUCAGUUCCCCUGAAACUACUUUAAGAAAUGUCUGUGUCUCAUACUAACUUGACCGCCCACAAAAGAAAAAUCUCCACUGCAUUUAACUCCCAAAAAGUUAAGACAGAAGUAAUAAACAUGAAUUAGUGUGCAGUUAUAAAGGACGUGUGAAACAGUGCACCAGUUUUACUCAACCUGAAUAUUAAUCCAGUAGUGCUGAUCUACAUACCCUU
Molecule: long non-coding RNA, 1299 nt
Organism: Haemorhous mexicanus (house finch)
Lineage: Eukaryota; Metazoa; Chordata; Aves; Passeriformes; Fringillidae
Exons: 4
Source: RefSeq, a predicted model, not a curated record